UACGGGGCGCGUUUGCUCAGCGCUUAGAACAGACACCAGCGCACAGAGAAGACCACAGCACUCAACAUCUCUCCAGCUUUUGGAAACAUGAUUGGACCUCAGAGUACCGAAGUAGCCAAGCGUCUGCUUCAGCAUAACAUCCGGGUCCUCCGGAACGUGUCACAUGACCUGGAGGAGCGGGAGAAGCGAUUGGUCAGGAUGAGAACGAGGCUGAGCCGGCUGGAGAGCGCUGGGACUCUGCUGAGUGUGAGAAAGCAGUCCACCACCAGACACCAAUAACCGUGGAGAGGGGCAGUUUCAAAUUCAAAACACCGGGGAAAUCGUGUUGAUAUACAUGUAGGACGUUCUACGUGACUGGAUAUUAUGUAUCUAUUUGAAUUUGAUACGUUGGUGCUCGCAGUAGACAAACAUGUUAUAUAUACAAAUAUCCAGUCCUUGCGUUUUUGAAAGGUAUAAUUUGAUAAUCCCUAUCUGUGCUUUAUAGGUUCAUAUGUAAUGCGAGACUUGUAAUCACUUUAUAAUUAAGCUUGGAAAUAAUGCUACAUUAUGUAAAACUAGAUAAGUAAUGUACGUCGAUGAAGGUUAGACAUCCAGGUAAUACGAUACGCCAAAAAGCUGAGUAACUGCUUUUUGGCGUAAAUAACUAAUGCAUGAUGCUUUUAUCCAAUUGAUAAUUACCUACCACCGACUGACUAUUUAUCCAAUGCCCUGUCUAGAAAUGAGAGAGACAGUCGGAAUCUAUAAUCGUAAUCUGAGUCAUGUAUAAACACGACAGACGUGGAUCAUAUUUCAGAGAUGCCACUCAGAAUGCUUCCUAUUUAAGCGUAGGGCCCUAUUACUCUCCAAGCAGAGGUUGUGGGGGAAUGAUCGUUAGCUUUUUAACACUUUAUAUAUGGUCGUUUUUUUUGUCGCUACCUUCUCUGGCUAAUGGAUACUGCCUGGCCAAUUUGAUACUGUAUUUUUGCCACCGAAAGAGAUCUGCUUGGAGAUUAGGGCCCUAUAACAUUUAUCUGUGGAGUCCAGACGGACUCAGUCAUCGUGCUAUAAUGUUAGCCGCUGUGUUCAUACUGGUUUAUUUCUUCCAGACUGUACGGUACAGAGUAGCAGGGUCACCGUAGGACCCCGAAGUGAUCUGCCGCAUUACACAGGUUAUUAAAAACGGUUGGCACAGAUAUUGAAAGCAAUUAGUAAAAACAGUUAAAAACUGAUAGGGGCCUAUCUGCGACUGUCUGCGAUUGUUAGACGCACUCAGUCAUUUUAAUGUAAUGUUAGCCACUUUGUCGACAGCUGUACACUCAUAUAUAGAUGCAGCAACACGUCGAAGACGAUUGAUAC
Molecule: long non-coding RNA, 1335 nt
Organism: Branchiostoma belcheri (Belcher's lancelet)
Lineage: Eukaryota; Metazoa; Chordata; Leptocardii; Amphioxiformes; Branchiostomatidae
Exons: 3
Source: RefSeq, a predicted model, not a curated record